RNAcentral lists this unclassified non-coding RNA (372 nucleotides) under Hevea brasiliensis (rubber tree). Lineage: Eukaryota; Viridiplantae; Streptophyta; Magnoliopsida; Malpighiales; Euphorbiaceae. The record is from RNAcentral.
UACCUGACCCGAUUUUACCUCCACCAAGAACUUGGCAUCAUCACCAAACACUUGAGUCCUCUGCUCAAAUUCUUCAGCCAACCUGCUUAUAACACUCAAGCCUGCACUCAUUGGUCUUGCACUAUGACCAUUAGUUUCUUGACCCCUGUAGUUACUUCCUGUAUCCCAGCUGAAGUCCCUUUCAUCGCUUGCAUUGACAGAUGCAUCUGAAUUUCUCUCAGAAUCAUCAAUUGCAAGGCUCUUCUUUGCAAUGGAGAGACUGGAUUGCAGAGAUCUCAUCUGUUUCUGCCACACUUCUUCCAUGGACUUCAUUUUCAACUCAUAUUCAGACCAACGGCUCUCAUAUUGUUGGAGGCGUUGGUGGAGGAUGUC